Molecule: long non-coding RNA, 19194 nt
Filed under: Nicotiana tabacum (common tobacco)
Lineage: Eukaryota; Viridiplantae; Streptophyta; Magnoliopsida; Solanales; Solanaceae
Description: long non-coding RNA (NTAB_LNC000148)
Source: RNAcentral
ACAAAUAGAAGAGAAAGGGACAAGAUGGACCUGAGUAAACUUUCCCUUUCUGAUUUGAUUAAAUUGAUUCCACAAAUAAUGAAGCCCAAUCUACUAUAUGAGAAAACAAACAAGGAUAGCAACUAGAUCGAACAAGACCUCGGCUACAACGAAUGCCUUGACUCGACUCUUUGUGUUUAUAAUGAAAUGUUCGACUUCAAAAACGAAACCAAGCAAUUCACUCGACUCUUUGUGCGGCUGUUUUGUGUAUGCAGAUAGGUUGGAGGUAUUUCCUUUCUUGAACAAGAGCGACAGAAGGGAAUCUAUAGGUGAAGAGUGCUCGGCUGUUAGAAGGAGGUGUGGUUAAGGAUGAGAGACGGCGACGGGGGGAGGGGAGGGGAGGGGCUGGUUUUUGGCGAUAUCAGUGGUGGCUGGCGACAGAGGGGUUAGGAGAUGAGCGGGUGUGUAGGUGUGUGGUUGGCAAGGGUUCUGUCGCUGGCGUUGGAAGGGGUGUGAAAGAGAGAAGGGGGUGGGUGAUGUGGAUAGUGAGGAGGUCCGGCGGAUUUUUUGGCGGAGAUGAGGGGGCGGCAGCGACUCUUCUGGUUCUAAGAGCGACGGCGACUGUUGGCUUUCAAAGAGCGAUGGCGGCUGCUGCUUGGAGAGGAUGACGGCUGGAGCUCUGAAGAAGAAUUAGGAUUUUUUUGUGUGUGUUGUCUUGGUUGAAGAAGAAGAGGGGACGGCUGGGAGGGGUUCUAGGUCUCUAGGCUUCUUUGUUUUGUCUCUUUGAUAAAGAAGAAGCAACGGCUGGGGUCUUCAAGACUAGGGUUGGGAUCUGUUUUUAUUUUUAAGAAGAAGAGUCCAGAAGGGUCUCUAGGGUUAGCUUAGUGGAUAUUGGGUAUUGGGCUUGGAUUUAUGGGCUAAGGGUCCGAAAAUUGGGCCUAAAAUGGGUUGUUUAGGCCCAAAUUUUAUUCUUUCUCAUUGAACAAGACUAAAAAUACUACCCCAUUUACUAACUAAUUCAACUUAAGAAAAAUAACUAUUAAAAUAAAACUAACCGUUAAAACAAACCUAUUUUUGGUAUUUUUCAAAUAUCAUACUAAAAGAUUAAAAUAGAAUUAGAUUAAAAUCAUUGCAAAAUUAAAAUAAUAUUCCUAGCAAACUACUAAUAUUCCUGAAAAUGAAGUAGAACUAUUUUUGUCUUUUAUGAAAGGUAGGUAAACUAAAAUUAACAAUAUAAAAUAUCAAUUACCUAAAUAAAAGAAAAAUAAUUUUUGUAAUUUUUAUUUUUGUGACAAAAUAAAGUAAAAGAGUCAAAACUAGUUGAAAUAGCAAUAUUAGGUCUAAACUAAAUAUUUAAAUGCUAAAAUAUGUAAAAUAUUGGGGAGGAUAAAAAAUUACAUGUCUACAACUGCCCUUCUUUGACUGGAAACACAAAGAGUUUUCAGACAAAGAACGACGAGACAAGUUUUUGACCUGACCCUUAUUUAGAGAGACCAAAAACUAAAAGAAAGGAGAAUGUGACCGAGCCCUGGUAUCUGAGCUGCCUACAUAUCCUUGGCUAAAAAGGAAUCAGGCCACGUGUAGUUCAGAAGUAGGAACAGUGAUGGAAUGUACCGAGGUGGAGAGUCGAGUGAGGUUCCGUUCCGUCGAGGUUUUGGUCCGUUGUCCUGUUAUUACAUCAAAAUCAAAAAUUUAUAAGACUAACUAGGCCUAUCAGCUACGAGUUACAAGAUUCCUAUCUAUGAGUCUUCUGAAGCUUGAUCUUGAGUCUUGGUUGGUUCUUCAUGCAGACUCUAAUCUGAAUCUUGAUGCUUGUUAGCUACAUGUGUUAGUUCAUUCUUACACGGCUUCUUCGGGUCAAGAUCAGACAUGCAGUACUCGUGACUAGUCUUGAGCAGUUCACAUCUUUUUUCUGCUUCUGCAUUUUGGAUUCACUUCUUUUUUUCUUUUUUUGGAUUGAGACUACUUCUGUUGGUCAUCUCGGAUUGUUGACUCGCAUUCUUGCCGCGAGCUUCUGCUACUUCUAACUUGAAUUGAAUUCUGAAAUGACUUCCCUUGUUCUCUAGGUGGGCGCCUGCUACUGACUUGAAACUUGAAACAAUUCUAAAACGAAUUCCCUUGUUCUCCAGGUGGGUGCCUGCUACUACAACAAAACAGACAAAACAAAAGAAACUUUUAUGCCCCAGUUUGUACUAGGAAGAUUUAUGAGUUGUUAGUUAAACUGUAAAUCACCUACGUUGUUGAUGAAGGAUGGAAUGAUGAGAGUAAAAUUAAUGACUCGACUAGGAUGUGCGUCUCCUAGGGAUGAAACUUGAAUAACCCAAACUAGGAAGUGCGUCUCCAAAAACUGUAACCUAAAAUAACCAGACUAGGAAGUGCGUCUCCUAAAGAAAUAAAAUCUGGAAACCCCAAUCUAGGAAAUGUGUCUCCUAGAUUUGAGAUUGAGAUUGCAGAAAACUAUAAACUAAGCUUGACUAAAGUAAAAACUGACCCUAUUCUCCAGGCGGGGACCCUGAUUUCAAGAAAACUAAAGAUUAAUAACUUAAGAAAACUAAAUAUUGACCCUUUUUUUUUCAAAUCCAGACUUCCUUUUUUUUUACAAAAAAAAUUAUCCUAGGAGAAAAUUUCAUCAGACUAGGCUUUUUUUUUAUCUUAUGAGAAAGAUUCAUCAGACUAAGAUUUCUAUCCUAGGAAAAAAUUCAUCAGACUAGGUCCAUUUUUUUUAUCUUAGGAUAAUGAUUCAUCAGACUAAGAUUUAUAUCCUAGGAGAAGUUCGUCAGACUAGGUCUUGUAUCUUAGGAGAAAGAUUCAUCAGACUAAGACUUCGAUCCUAGGAGAAAAUUCAUCAGACUAGGUCCAUUUUUGUUAUCUUAGGAGAAAGAUUCAUCAGACUAAGAUUUCUAUCCUAGGAGAAAGUUCAUCAAACUAUGUCUUCUAUCUUAGGAGAAAGAUUCAUCAAACUAAGAUUUUGAUCAUAGGAGAAAGUUCAUCAGACUAGGUCUCUUUUUUAUCUUAGGAGAAAGAUUCAUCAGACUAAAAUUUCGAUCCUAAGAGAAAAUACAUCAGACUAGGUUUUAAUCUUAGGAGAAAGAUUCAUCAGGCUAAGAUUUCUAUCCUAGGAGAAAAUUCAUCAGACUAGGUUUUCUAUCUUAGGAGAAAAAUUCAUCACACUAAGAUUUUUAUUGGGAGAAAAUCCAUCAGACUAGGACUUUUUAUGCUAGAAAGAAAAAUAUGAAGAGCAAUGGCAAAAUUUAUGCACACUAGCAAGACAAAUAAAGACAAAGAUUUGAGAAACUUCCCUUUGUCGGCUCUUUUCUUCUUUUCAUUUCUUCUUUCUUUUUUUUCAUCAUCUUUUUUUUAACCACUUUCCUUGCACUGCUUUGUUCCUGUUUCAAACAAAUAAAAACUUGUCAGUUUUGAAAGGUGGUGGUCGGUUUGUGGACUUGAUCUUUGGCAGCUUGGCUGUGUGCACAUUCGCUUUCAGAAAAUUGACUGUAUUGGUAAUUGGCUGCAUUGAUGGGAGACUCUGUUGUUGCUUUCAAAGGGGCCUUUUCUUUCUGAAUCAAUCCUAAUUUUUCACUCCCAAUGCCAUUGGUGUUUAGUGGCUCAAUCAGCCUUAUCCCGACUGGAGAUCUUUGCUCAGGUGACCUUUUCUGAUGUCUUCAAUGACUUCCUGCUUUUGAGCAAUUUGUCUGUCAGAGAGAAUCACAAGUUAUCUUUGCUUGUGCAAGUAGGCUGACAAGAGUCUUUUGGGGGGAAGCCUUUGCAUGAUUCCUCAAGUCAUGUUGACUGUAACACCUGAGUGUGCUGGCUAAAUUUACUGUGUGCAACUGAAAGGCUGGUUGCAGAUUUUGAAAUCUUUUCUUGCUUGUUUUGAGAAGGACUGACUCAGAGUGAAGGGCACAAUGAUGGAAAGAAACAGUAUUAACAAGAAAUGCCCCUGUCGGAAAGGACAGAAGGAGGAGUUUUUUUUUAACUAGCCUUAAUGAUCAUGACAUGCAUUUUGGACUUAACGUCUGAUCUAUCAAACUGACCAAAUCUUCCCUUUUACCAUUCUUAUGACUUUGAAGUCGGGCUUGUUCGUGCCAAUCCUUUGUAUCAGCUUCACGACUCACUUUCUACUAGUGGUGCCCCGGGGGAUUUUCACCAAUAAAUCUCUCUCAUUUGUUUAUCUCUUCUUCCUAUCGCCUUACAGUGCCCUUAAGGGUUUUCACUAGUAAAACUCUCUCAUUUUUUCUUUUCCUUUUAUUUCCCCUUCUUUUUUUUGGUGAGCAACUUGACAGUGUUCUAUGUCGCGUGACAACCGUUGCUCAUUGCAUGCUUCUUAUGGCAUUCUUGAAGGCAUAUCGGGAGGUCUUUAUUUGGAAGGUUUUGAAUAGGGUUGGACAGAAGGGUCAGCAUGAAGGCUCAAAGUAGACUCAAAAUGAAGGGUCGUAGACUUACAACUCUUGAAAUCGACUCUUUCAAAAGUGAAAUAAAAUCUUUGCCCUAGUUUCAGAUACUGGGGAUUUUUUUUUUGGAUUUUUUUUGAAUUCUUAUUUGGUUGGACCGAACCAUUUAAGGCUGCCUACGUAUCCUUUUUUUAAGGAAUCAGGUCUAACGUAGUUCAAACAUCUGACCUAACUAUAAUUUUUUUAUGUUCCUCUAUUUCUUUUCCUUUUCUUUUUCUCUUUUUUUUCUUUUUUCACUUUUUUUCCUUUUUGUUUGCCCCAGCUCCUAUCUUCUAAGGGCAUGGACUUUCGACCGUUCUUUUCUUCUUCUUUUUCUUCUUUUUUUCACUUGAACUUUCAAAGAACUGCCCUAAUUUAUACUCUAAGGGAAUGGACCUUUAUUGUUAUUAUUUUUUUAUUUUUUAUUUUAACUUUUAACUCUAAACUUGAUUUCAAAAGAGGGUGGUCAAAGAAAAUGACACAGGCACAAAGGGGUAACAAAGGGUAUAAAGUUUUUGGGUAGCAGAAAAAGGGCCUCCCAGCCUCGAGAACGCCAAACAUAUUAUCUUUUUGCGAUCACAAAAUUGACAAACAUGUCUGUCUUCUUGGUAUGUCGUGGUCACAAGACACUUUUCAUCCCUUAAUGUCAAACUUUCCAACAGACUUCAAUUGAUUCUUCCUCAAUCUUAUCUUCACAAUGAUUUUGAAUGUAAAGAUUCUUAACCUCCAUGGGUCUGACUAUUCUAUUCCACUUUAAUUUUACUCAGGCUUAAUUCCAAGGUAUUUCAACUCUUUUUCAUCCUCAAAAGUGUCUUUUCCUCAGUUGUCCAAUUCAAGCUUAAAUCAAUUUUCUAAGAUCUGGCCAAAAAUUCUUCAUGCAUGUCAUGUCACUAAAACUUGCGUGAAAAGAACUAUGCAUGAAAUGACUGACUGUUUUUUAUUGAAUAAAGGAUAGCAGGGUCCGAUAACACAAAAAGAAGAAGAAAAGACGACAAAAUAAGCUACCAUGGCUAAAGGAGGAGCGACUUUCUAGUUACUAAGUGACAUCUUAGCCACACAUUCGCACAUUAGCAUUACUACGGUAUUUGACCAUUUUAAUUGCUUUGGAUUCAACACUCAAAUUUUGACAAUCAUCCCGAGUAGCACAUAUCCUAUUGCUCAAAUCGGGUAAAGUCAACCCCACAUUUGCCUCCAUUUUUUAUUUUUCACCGCCAACUUGUCUGCUUGCCUUUUUGUGACCUUGGAUCAACAACAAUGGUGCUUAUUCCAUUGGUUGAGAAGAUGCUUUUAUUUCCGAGAGAUCUUGGAUUGUUUUUGUGACAUGCCAUUGCAAACCAAUAAACCGACCACCCUCGACUAUCUUUUAUUCCAAAACAAUAAGAAUGUUAUAAUAAACACUCUCUUUCUUUUUUUCCUUUUCUCUUUUUCUUUUUCUUUCAUUCUCUGUUUUUUUUAACCAUUCGAUCGAACCUGAUGUGAGUUGCCUACGUAUCAUAUGGGAACAUGAAUCACAUCUUGCGUAGUUCGGGAAGAUCGGGAAUAAAGUGAAUAACCUAACUCUUUUUUUUUGAAUUUUUAUUUAUUUAUUUAUUUAUUUUAAUUGCCGAAAGAAAGACUUAUAAAGAAGAAAGAAAAUAUUUUUGGGUUUAAAUUUGUUUGUUUUUAUUUGGAGAAUUUUUGGAAAGAAAGACUUUUAAACAAGAAUUUUUUUUGAAUUUUGACUAUAUUUUUUUUGGAAUUUCAAAAGAAAAACUUCAAAGGAAAUAUUUUGGACUUUUAUUUGAAUUUAUGAAAGAAAUACUUCUAAAGAAAAGAGAAAAUAUUUUUUUGAAUCUUGAAUUUUCUUUUUUAAUUUUCGAAAGAAAAAUGAAAAUAUUUUGUAUUUUUAAAAUUUGGGGUCUAAAAGAAAGACUUUCUAAAGAAGGAAGUAAUGGAAAAUAUUUUUGGAUUUUUGAAAAUUGGGGGCCGGAACUGAUGAGGCUUGCCUACGUAUCUCACAUCCAGUGAAAAUCAGACCCGCGUAGUUCGGUCAGUUUUGAUAUAAUUGAAAAAACAUGAUAUUGACUCACUUUAAUUUUUUUUGAAAUAUAUUUUAUUUUCCUCUUUUUUUCAAAAAUUUUGGCAGAGUUUCGAGGCAUUUUCAAAUAUCGGGGUUUUCAUAACCGGGUGAAUUCUCUAUCCUACCCCACUCUUGAUUUUUUUGUUGUUUUUAUUUCCUUAGCCGAUCAACAUACAAACUGAAAUAAAUAAAUGUACAAAUAGCACAUAAGAUGCAUCAGGAUGGUCUUUCAAUUCGGGUACACCUGUCCUAGACGAACCCAACCCCUAUGUUAAGUCCCCAAAGUCAAAUGCACUUGAUGCAAACAAACGUUCCUACUAGGGAUCCAGCAUGAGGUUAUGUUUUUCUAGGUUUAAACCUAGGGUUGUAUUCUAAACCUGGCUUACCCAAGAGGACAACUUGAGCCGAGGUGGGAGCGACGUACCGGGAGCACAAAAGUCUACCCGACCUAGUGGUUGAUCCAUCCUCGUUCUAUUUGGUACGACCUUUAACAGAAAAGCGGGCCACGCGAACGUGUGUACUAUUUUUAGAAGACUCAUAAAAGAGGCGUAAGAAGACAGUUUAAUACAGUUCAAAUAAUAUCAAAGUGGUAAAUAAGCGGCAAUUAGCAUAUUAGGCCCACAAAAUACAAUAAUAUCAACAAUAAUGUCAUGACCCUAAACCUGAACAUGGUCGUGGCGUCUCUCGUGAAGACAAAGCCAGCCGACACAUUUCCAAUUCAUUUUUUAAAUUGUUAAGAUAAUUCAAGUAAGUCUUAAACACAUUAACUAUCCCAGAUAGAUAAGAAGAAACAGUAAAUUUGCGGAAAAUAAGCCCAACACAUCCGAUACUGUGUGUCACCAGUAAUGAGCAUCUAUCAAUUUAAUACAAGUCUGAAGAGUCUACAAAGCUACUACAUAAUCACUAAUAACGGAAAGGAAAUGAGAUAAAGGGAGGAGAAGCACGGGGGUGCGGACGCCGAGCAGCUACCUCGUGAACUCCGAAAUCUGCCGGGAGCUCUCAACCCUCGCAAGCAGGAUCAGCAGCACCUGAAUCUGCACACGGGUUGUAGGGAAUAAAGUGAGUACUACAACUUAGUGAGUAAUAAUCAUAAAUAAAGAUUGAGAAAUAUGAAAUCACGUAAGGCACAUUACAGGCUAUAAUGAAGCAGUAAAAUCCAAUAAAAACAGUAAAUCAGAGAAGAUAUGUAAAGUCAUUUUAGUUCAGUUUAAACUUCAUGAAAUGCCUUUUUAACGAUUAAGCAAGCAAAUGACAGGAAAAUAGGAAAGAUAAACACAUAAAGGAUCUCCCCUCGGGUACAAUGUCAACAAAUCUGCCCCUCGGUCAAUAUCUCAGAAAAAAACCUGCCCCUCGGGCUAUAUCUCACAUCACAAUGGGUACCCGCACUCACUGGGGGUGGCAGACUCCUGGAGGGGCCCCUUACGGCCCAAGCGCAAUAUUAAGCCAUUUGUGGCAUCAUCACUAGGCUCUCGGUCUCAUAUUAACAAGACACAUCGUGGCAUACAAAUCUCAGGCCCUCAGCCUCAUAAUCAUAAUCAGUAUUUCCUCACAACAUAGGCCCUUGGCCUUACUCAGUCAGAAUCUCACAAGCCACUUGAGCAAUAGUAAAACAUCAUGCUCAGCCCAGAAUAUCAGUUUUUAAGUGUUAAAAUAGAGUAAACAUAGUUGAGUUAUGAAAACAGUAGAAUGUAGCAUGACUGAGUUCAAGUAUAAAGUCAAAACAGUGAGGAAAUAUCAGUAAAGAUCCCCUAAGNNNNNNNNNNNNNNNNNNNNNNNNNNNNNNNNNNNNNNNNNNNNNNNNNNNNNNAACAUUUACAAUCAUUACUCACCUCAAAUCGGUGCAAAAUCUAGCCCGUGAUGCCUUUGCCCCUAAAAUCGGCCUCAACUCGGGUCAAAUCUAAUCAAAAUCAGAAUCACGAUGUCAAAAUAUGCUAAGGAAACGAAGCUCAUGCGAAAAUAGUCAAUUUACAACAUAAAUCCCGAAAUUACCAAAACCCGGCCCCUGGGCCCAUGUCACGGAAUUCGAUAAAUUUUACAUCAAUAGAUUCCUUAUCUCCCCACGAGUUUAUACAUAUCAAAAGUACCAAAAUUCAACCACAAAUUGUCCCUCAAAUCCUCAAGUCUAGGUCUCCAAUACCAAGCUCUAGUUUCCCCAAUUUUAACCCUUAAAUUCCAUUAAUUACAGCUCUAAUCCGUGAAAUAAUACCAUAGGAACGAGUUUUAGGUUCAAAAUCCUUACCUCAAUGAAGUUCCCUUGAAUUCCCUCUUCAUAUCGCCCAAAAUGCUCCAAAACCGACUUAGAAAUGGUGGAAUAACUCAAAAAUCACGAAGGAAACAAUUUAUACCUUCUGGCCUAGGGAUUUCGCAUUUGCAGCAAAAUUCCCGCUUUUGUGGUAUCGCAUUUGUGGUCCUCACUUAAGUCGCCCAGCUCCGCAUCUGUGAUGCCUAGCCCGCACCUGUACCAUCGCAGGUGCGGUUCUUCUACCACUUCUGUGUUUCCUGCCAAUUUCACCAGCUUCCGCUUCUGCGACUCUUUUCUGCAUCUGCAGGGGUCGCAUCUGCGGCCUCCCAACCGCAGAUGCGGUUAUGACAGUAGAUUUCCAACUUCAGCUACCAUUCAAACUUUCAUUCCUUCCGUCAACCAUCCGAAAUCACCCCGAGGCCCCCGGGACCUCAACCAAAAACACAAACAUAUCCCAUAACCUCAUUCAAACUUAUACCAAUCUUCAAAACACCUCAAAUAACAUCGAAUCAACCAAAACACAUCGGAUUCAAGCCUAAGUUUUCAAAAUCUUCCGAAUUAUACUUUUGAUCAAAAAUCCAUCCAAACCACGUCCGAAUGACCUGAAAUUUUGCACAUACAUCCCAAAUGACACAGCGAAACUACUGCAACUCUUGGAAUUCCAUUCUGAUCCCUAUAUCAAAAUCUCACCUAUCAACCGGAAAAUGCCAAAAAUUCACUUUCGCCAAUUCAAGCCUAAAUCUACUCUGGGCCUCCAAAACACAUUCCAAUCACACUCCUAAGUCCCAAAUCGGAACCAUCGGAACUCACAUCCGAGCCCUCUAACACAUAAGUCAACAUCUGGUUGACUUUUCCAACUUAAGCUUCCUCAAAAGAGACUAAGUGUCUCAAACCUUACCAAAUCCUUUCAGAACCUGAGCCAACCAACCCGAGCACUCAUCGAACCGAUAACAUACCUGAAGUCUCAAAUAGGUAAGGAUAUAUGCUCUGAAUCUCCCACUCGGUCUCCUAGGUAGCCUCCCCCCACGGGCCAACCUCUCCACUGCACUUUUCACUGAAGCUAUAUCCUUUGCCCUUAACUUUUGAACCUAACGUCCCAAAAUAGCUACUGGCUCCACAUCAUAAGUCAAAUCACCAUCUAACUGAACCGUGCUGAAAUCCAGAACAUGAGACAGAUCCUCAAUAUAUUUCCGGAGCAUAGAAACAUAAAAUAUCGGAUGCAUACUCGACAAGCUGGGUGGCAAAGCAAGAUCAUAAGUCACCUCCUCAAUCCUCUGAAGCACCUCAAAAGGCCCAAUGAACCGAGGACUCAAUUUACCCUUCUUCCCAAACCUCAUAACACCUUUCAUGGGUGAAACCUUCAAGAGAACUUUCUCACCAACCAUGUAGGACACAUCUCGAACCUUCUUAUCGGCAUAACUCUUUUGUCUCAACUGCGAUGUACGAAGCCUCUCCUGAAUCACCUUCUUUUUUCUAAAGCAGCCUGCACCAAGUCUGUCCCCAAUAGCCUAUCCUCACCCUAUUCGAACAAACUAACUGGAAAUCUACACCACCUCCCAUACAAAGCCUCAUAUGGAGCGAUCUGAAUACUCGACUGGUAGCUGUUGUUAUAAGCAAACUCUGCAAGUGAUAGAAACUGAUCCCAUAACCCUCUGAAAUCAAUGAGACAAGCACGCAACAUGUCCUCCAAUAUCUGAAUAGUGUGCUUGGACUGCCCGUCCAUCGGAGGGUGAAAAGUUGUGCUCAACUCAACCUAAGUACCUAACUCUCGCUACACAGACCUCCAAAACUGUGAAGUAAACUGAGUGCCCUCUGAAAUGAUGGAAACUGGGACACCAUGCAAAUGAACAAUUUCCCGGAUAUAGAUAUCUGCAAACUGCUCUUAAGAAUAGGUAGUACACACAGGAAUGAAGUGCGCGGACUUGGUCAGCCGAUCCACAAUUACCCAAAUAGCAUCGAACUUCUUCAAAGUCCGUGGGAGCCCAACUACAAAGUCCAUGGUGAUUCGCUCCAACUUCCACUCUGGAAUAUCCAUCCGCUGAAGUUAUCCACCCGCUCUCUGAUGCUCAUAUUUCACCUACUGACAAUUGAGACAUCAAGCUACAAAUCCCACAAUAGCCUUCUUCAUUCUUCUCCACCAAUAAUGCUACCUCAAAUCCCGAUACAUCUUUGUGGCACCCAGAUGAAUGGAAUACCGCGAGCUAUGGGCCUCCUCCAAAAUCAACUCCCGAAACCCAUCUACAUUGGGCACACAUAUCCGGCCUUGCAUCCUCAACACCCCAUCAUCACCAAUGGUCACAUCUCUAGCAUCAUCAUGCUGAACUCUAUCCUUGUGGACAAGCAAAUGUAGAUCAUCAUACUAGCACUCUCUGAUGCGAUCAUAUAAGGAAGACCGAGAAAUCACACAAGCCAAUACCCGAUUGGGCUCCGAAAUAUCUAACCUCACGAACAGAUUGGCCAAGGCCUGAACAUCAACUACAAGAGGUCUCUCCCCAACUGGAAUAUAUGCUAAACUCCCCAUACUCACCGCCUUUCGGCUCAAAGCAUUAUCCACCACAUUAGCCUUUCCCGGAUGGUACAAUAUAGUGAUAUCAUAAUCCUUUAGCAACUCCAACCACCUCUGCUGCCUCAAAUUAAGAUCCUUCUACUUGAACAAGUGCCAGAGGCUACGAUACACACCAUACAAGUAAUGCCUCUAAAUCUUCAACGCGUGAUCUAUGGCAGCCAACUCCAAAUCAUGAACAGGUUAGUUCUUCUCAUGAGGCUUCAAUUGACGAGAAGCAUAAGUAAUAACUCUACCUUCCUGCAUCAAUACACACCCAAUACCAACUCUCGAAGCAUCAUAAUACAUAGUAUAUGAACCUGAAGCUGAUGAGAAAACUAACACUGGAGCCGUGGUCAAGGCUGUCUUGAGCUUCUGAAAGAUCUCAUCACACUCAUCCGACCAUACAAAUAUAGCACCCUUCUGAGUCAACUUGGUCAAGGGCGAUGCGAUAGAUGAGAAACCCUGAACAAAACGGCAAUAAUAGCCUAUCAAACCAAGAAAGCUGUGAAUCUUUGUGGCUGAGGACGGUCUGGGCCAACUCUGAACUGCCUCUAUAUUCUUCGGAUCAACCUGAAUACCCUCGCUAGACACCUCGUGCCCCAAGAAAACCACUGAAAUGAGCCAAAACUCACACUUGGAGAAUUUUGCAUAAAGCUUCUCCUCCCUCAAUCUCUAAAACACAACUCUUAAAUGCUCCGCGUGCUCCUCUUGACUACGCGAAUACACCAGAAUAUCAUCAAUGAAAACUAUGAAAAAUGAGUCAAGAUAAGGCCGGAACACACUAUUCAUCAAAUACAUGAAUGUUGUUGGGACAUUGGUCAGCUUAAAAGACAUCACCAAGAACUCAUAAUGACCAUAUUGGGUCCUGAAAUUUGUCUUAAGAAUAUCUGAGUCGCUGAUCUUCAACUGGUGAUAACCUGAACGGAGAUCAAUCUUGGAGAACACUCUCGCUCCCUGAAGUUGGUCGAAUAAAUCAUCUAUGCGAGGCAAAGGAUACUUGUUCUUAACUGUUACUUUGUUCAAUUGCCUAUAAUUAAUGUACAUCCCCAUUGUGCCAUCCUUCUUCUUCACAAAUAGAACCGGCGCACCCCAAGGUGACACACUAGGACAAAUGAACCCCUUAUCAAAGAGUUCAAGCUGCUCUUUUAACUCCUUCAACUCCGCUGGUGCCAUACGAUACAGCGGAAUAGAAAUGGGCUGAGUUCCCUACAUCAGGUCAAUACCAAAAUCAAUAUCCAUGUCAGGUGGCAUGCCCGGUAGGUCUGCAGAAUCAAUAUUGGGAGUCUCUGCUCUGACAUCCCUCACAAAGGCUAGAUACGAAAGGCAACCCUUCCUAACUAUACGCUGNNNNNNNNNNNNNNNNNNNNNNNNNNNNNNNNNNNNNNNNNNNNNNNNNNNNNNNNNNNNNNNNNNNNNNNNNNNNNNNNNNNNNNNNNNNNNNNNNNNNNNNNNUGAACAGGUGAAACAAGAGACUUGCGGGGCAUACCCAAAUAAUGAGUAAAGUAUGAUAACACAUAAGAAAAGGUGGAACCGGGAUCAAAUAAUACAGAGACACCUUUGUGGCAUACUGAAACAAUAUCUGUAAUAACAGUAUCAAAAGCAAUAGCAUCGGUUCUAGUUGGAAGUGCAUAGAAACGGGGAUGACCGCCACCUGAUCGACCUCCCCCUCUAGGGCGACCCCUAGCUGACUGACCUCCACCCUUAGCUGGUUGGGUGCGUGAUGAUGAAGUAACCGGCGCUGAAGCCGAUGACUGACACCUCUAUUGAGAUGGACCCGCAAGACGACGAGGACACUGCCUCCACAUAUGACCCAUCUCUCCACACUCAUAGCAACUCCCAGGUGUUGGAGAAGGGGACUAAAGGGAACCCCUUGUACCGAAAUGACUAGUAGAUGCACCUGGCAUAGAAGAGCCCUGAACUGAUGGAGCACGGGACGAACUCUGAGCUAGAAGGGCACUGAGUGAUGACUGGCCCUAAUGAGAACUAUGAGAACCAAGACCCGAUGAAGCCCCACAAUAACCUGGGCGAGCUGGCUGAGCAUGCCUGAAUGGAUGGCCUCUGCCGUGCUGAAACUCACCUCUCGAAGGAGCACCACUAUAACUACCAGAUCCUCGAGGCCUCUUGGUCUCCCUCUCCUCUCGCUCCUAGUGACGAACAGACUCAAUCUCACGAGAAAUGUGUACAACCUCCUCAAAGGUAGCACCAGUCACCCUCUCCCUGGUCAUGAGAAUACGAAGUUGAUAAGUGAGGCCAUCAACAAACCUCCUAAUCCUCUCUCUAUCUGUCGGAACUAACCAAAUCGCAUGACGAGCUAACCCAGAGAACCUCAUUUCAUACUGUGUCACAGUCAGCUCCUUGACGCAACCACUCGAACUGCCUGCGCAGCUCCUCUCUGCGAGACUACGGCACAUAUUUCUCCAAAAAGAGAACGGAGAACUGCUGCCAGGUAAGGGGUGCUGCACCAAUAGGCCUACACCUCUCAAAAGCCUCCCACCAAGUGAAGGCAGCUCCAGAAAACUGAUAAGUAGUGAAAGCGACCCCGCUGGUCUCCAGAAUACCCAUUGUACAAAGAAUCCUCUAACACUUAUCCAAGAAACCUUGGGCACCCUCGCCCUCGCCAUCUUAAGAAGUAGCUGCGCGGUAGUAAUUGAGACCGCCUGAGCUAGGCCAGUACAAACUGAUAGAAUUUGAGCCAAGGCCUUCUGAAGACCCAGAAUCACAAUGGCAACAGCUGGUGCCUGAGCUGGUGCUGCUGGAGUGUCCACAACUGGAACCUGAUCCUGAAUUGGGGCGAUUGGUGGAUCUGCAGGUGCUGCUCUAGUUGUUAUGCAGGCCACACCUCUGCCCCUACCGCGACCAUGACCGCAUCCUCGGCCUCUAGUGUCCACAGCUGGUGGUACUGGUGGUCGUCCAUCCUGACCGGUAGCGCGUGUCCUCACCAUCUGUAAGAGAAUAGAAUAACAGAAGUUUAGUACUCGGAUCAACAGAUUCGCACAACAAGAAGUUCAACAAUAUGAAGUUUUUCCUAAAGGUUCUGUAGCCUCUCGAGGAUAAAUGCAGACAUCUCUGUACCUAUCCGCGAGACUCUACUAAACAUGCUCAUGACUCAUGCGACCUAUGUAACCUUGGCUCUGAUACCAACUUGUCACGACCCUAAACUCGAACCCAGUCGUGAUGGCGCCUCUCGUGAAGACACGGCCAGCCGACACAUUCCCAAUUCAUUUUUAAACAGUUAAUAUAAUGCAAGUAAGUCUUAAACACAUUAACUAUCCCAGAUAGAUAAGAUAAAAUAGUAAAGUUGCGGAAAAUAAGCCCAACACAGUCCGAUACAAGGGUGUCAACAGUCAUGAGCAUCAUCAAUUUAAUACAAGUCUGAAGAAUCUACAAAGCUACUAUAGAAUCACUAAUAAGGUAAAGGAAAUGAGAUAAAGGGGGGAGAAGCACGGGGCUGCGAACGCCGAGAAACUACCUCGUGAACUCCAAAAUCUGCUAUGAGCUCUCUACCCUCGCAAACAGGAUCAACAGCACCUGAAUGUGCACACAGGGUGUAGGGAGUAAAGUGAGUACUCCAACUCAGUGAGUAAUAAUCAUAAAUAAAGACUGAAAAAUAUGAAAUCACGUAAGGCACAUUACAGACUAUAAUGAAGCAGUAAAAGCCAGUAAAAAAUAGUAAAUCAGAUAAGAUAUGUAAAGUCAUUUUAGUUCAGUUUAAACUUCAUGAAAUGCCUUUUUAAUGAUUAAGCAAGCAAGUGAUAGGCAAAUAGGAAAGAUAAACACAUAAAGGAUCGCCCCUCGGGUACAAUGUCAACAAAUCCGCCCCUCGGGCAAUAUCUCAGAAACAAAACUAGUCCCUACGGCUAUAUCUAACAUCACAAUGGGUACUCGCACUCACUGGGGGUGUGCAAACUCCUGGAGGGUCCCCUUACGACCCAAGCACAAUAUCAAGCCAUCUCGUGGCAUCAUUAUAAGGCUUUCGUCCUCAUAUCAACAAGCCACCUCAUAGAGUACAAAUCUCAGGCUCUCAGCCUCAUUAUCAUAAUCAGUGUUUCCUCACAACAUAGGCCCUUGGCCUUACUCAGUCAGAAUCUCACAAGCCACUCGGGCAAUAGUAAAACAUGAUGCUCAGCCCAAAAUAUCAUUUAAAAUAUCAUUUAAGUGUUAAAAUAGAGUAAACAUGGCUGAGUUAUGAAAAUAGUAGAAUGUAGCAUGACUGAGUUCAAGUAUAAAGUAAAAAAAGUGAGGAAAUAUAAGUAAAGAUCCCAUAAGGGUUCAAAUAGUUGGCACAAGGCCCAAAUAUGGCAUUCAGCCCAAAAUAUGAUGAUAGCAAAUAGUUUUCAAUCAAAUACGCGGUAAAAUAGUCAUUCGAGAUGGACUAAGUCACAAUCCCCAAUAGUGCACGACCCCACGCUCUCUAUCUAGCAUGUGUGUCACCUCAAUAUAGCACAAUGAUGUGCAAAUUCGGGGUUUCAUACCCUCAGGACAACAUUUACAAUCAUUACUCACCUUAAACCGGUGCAAAAUCUAUCCCGCGACGCCUUUGCCCCUAAAAUCGGCCUCAACUCGGGUCAAAUCUAACCAAAAUCAGAAUCACAACGUCAAAAUAUGCUAAGGGAACGAAGCCCGUGCGAAAAUAGUCAAUUUACAACAUAAAUCCCGAAAUUACCAAAACCCAACCCCCACGCCCACAUCUCGAAAUUCGAUAAAUUUUAUAUCAAUAGAUUCCUUAUCUCCCCACGAGUUCAUACAUAUCAAAAGUACCAAAAUCCGACCACAAAUGGUCCCUCAAAUCCUCAANNNNNNNNNNNNNNNNNNNNNNNNNNNNNNNNNNNNNNNNNNNNNNNNNNNNNNNNNNNNNNNNNNNNNNNNNNNNNNNNNNNNNNNNNNNNNNNNNNNNNNNNNNNNNNNNNNNNNNNNNNNNNNNNNNNNNNNNNNNNNNNNNNNNGUCUAGGUCUCCAAUACAAGCCCUAGUUUCCCCAAUAUUAACCCUUAAAUUCCAUUAAUUACAGCUCUAAUCCGUGAAAUAAUACCAUAGGAACGAGUUUUAGUUUCAAAAUCCUUACCUCAAUGAAGUUCCCUUGAUUUUCCUCUUCAAAAAUCGCCCAAAAUGCUCAAAACCUGAUUUCGAAUUUGCGGCAAAAUUCUCACUUCUGCGAUACCGCAUUUGCGGUCCUCACUUAAGUCGCCCAGCUCCGCAUCUACGAUGCCUAGCCCGCACCUGCGCCAUCGCAGGUGUGGUUCUUCUACCACUUCUGUGGUUCCUGCAAACUUCACCAGCUUCCGCUUCUGCGACUCUUUUCCGCAUCCCUACCGUAGAUUCGGUUAUGACAGUAGAUUUCCAACUUCAGCUGCCAUUCAAACUUCCAUUCCUUCCGUCAACCAUCCGAAAUUACCCCGAGGCCCCCGGGACCUCAACUAAAAACAUAAACAUAUCCCAUAACCUUAUUCAAACUUAUACCAAUCUUCAAAACACCUCAAACAACAUCGAAUCAACCAAAACACAUCGGAUUCAAGCCUAAGUUUCCAAAAUCUUCCGAAUUUCGCUUUUGAUCAAAAACCCAACCAAAUCACGUCCGAAUAACCUAAAAUUUUGCACACACAUCCCAAAUGACACAACACGAUUACUGCAACUCUCUAAAUUCCAUUACGACCCCUAUAUCAAUAUCUCACCUAUCAACCGGAAAAUGCCAAAAAUCCACUUUCGCCAAUCUCCGGGCCUCCAAUACACAUUUUGAUCACGCUCCGAAGUCCCAAAUCACCUUACCAAGAUAUCCGAACCAUCGGAACUCACAUCCAACUUAAGCUUCCUCAAAAGAGACUAAGUGUCUCAAACCUUACCAAAUCCUUUCCGAACCCGAGCCAACAAACCCGAGCACUCAUCAAACCGAUAACCAAAGCAAUAGGAAGCAAAAAUGGGGGAAACGGAGUGGUAACUCAUGAGACGACUGGCCGGGUCAUCACAAAUAAACAAAGCUAAGUAAAAAUCACAUUAACAAGCUCGAAUUUUUGAACCCUGAACCAGAGAUUCUAAGUUCUAGUCCCCAGCAGAGUUGCCAGAGCUGUCACACCUCCUUUUUCAUAAGAGGGCAUAAGGGAGUUUUUUCAAUUAAAGUGACAUAAUCGAAAUGGGAUUGUUUAAUUAUUUCAGAGUCGCCACUUGAAUUAUUUAUGGUGUCCCAAGUCGCCGGUUUAUUUUAAAAUCCCAAAUCAAGGAAAUUUGACUCUUAUUUAUGGUCUGCAAACAUAGAAGAUUCGGUAAGGAAUUCUGUUAACCCGGGAGAAGGUGUUAGGCAUUCCCGAGUUCUGUAGUUUUAGCACAGUCGCUUUUAAUCCUACCUGACUUAAUUAAAUUGUUUAAUUACGUGUUUUAGAACCCGUGUACUUUAAAAAAUUUACCGCUUUUGAUUGGGCAUUUUAUGAAAUUAUCUUGAAACGAGUCACGCGUACGUGUACUCUUUUUGUUUGGCGCGUCAAGAAUCAUGUCACGCGUACAUGUACACAAUUAAUCACGCUUUAUUAAUAUUAAGAAAGUUUGACCGAAGUUGCACUAAUGCAUACCUCGAUUUAUUUUUAGAAUCAUAAUUAUGUCCCUCGAACGUGUACACAAUCACGAUAAUAGAUUAAGUCGCACCUAAAUCAAGCUAUGAAUAUUCAUUUUAGAAAUCGUAAUCAUGUCAUGCGAACGUGUACAUAAUCACGAUAAUAAAUUCAAAAUGCGCCUAAAGGUUUGCCUACCCAUGAUGUCCUUAAGCAUGCUACUAGCGGGUGACAUAAUAGAUAAUAAAUGAAUAAACAAAAGAGAACUAACUAAUAGAAAAAUUCAACUCAUACUCCAAUUGAAUUGAUUUUAUUUAACCCAACCUCGCAUCCCAUUUUCAGCAAAUUAGACCAAACAAUUGUGGCAUCUAAAUACUCUUAUUCAUACUUGUACUUAAUACAUACAAAUAAUCAAGAAGGCAACAUCAUAUCAUUCCAUCAUAACAUAAGAAAAUGAUCAGCACAAAUAGAAGAGAAAAGGACAAGAUGGACUUGAGAAAACUUUUCCUUUCUGAUUUGAUUAAAUUGAUUCCACAAACAAUGAAGCCCAAUCUACUAUUUGAGAAAACAAACAGGGAUAGCAACUAGAUCGCGAACAGGAACUCAGCUACAAUGCAUGCCUUUACUCGACUCUUUGUGUUUAUAAUGAAAUGUUCGACUUCAAAAACGAAACCAAGCAGUUCACUCGACUCUUUGUGCGAUUGUUUUGUGAUGGUAUGCGGAUAGGUUAGAGGAAUUUCCUUUCUUGAAUAAGAGUGACAUAUGGGAGUCUAGAGGUGAAGAGUGUUCGGCUAUUAGGAGGAGGUGUGAUUAAGGAUGAGAGACGGCGAUAGGGGGCUGGUUUUCGGCGAUAUCGGUUGUGGCCGACGACAGAGGGGUUAGGAGAUGAGCGGAUGUAUGUGUGUGUGGUUGGCGAGGGUUCUAUCGUUGGCAUUGGAAGGGGUGUGAGAGAGAGAGAAGGGGGUGGGCGAUGGGGGUAGUGAGGAGGUCCGGCGGAUUUUUUGGCAGAGAUGAGGGGGCGGCAGCGGCUCUUCUGGUUCUAAGAGCGACGACGGCUGUUGGCUUUCAGGGAGCAACGGUGGCUGCUGCUUGGAGAGAAUGACGGCUGGAGCUCUAAAGAAUAAUUAGGGUUUUUUUUUUGUUGUCUUGGUUGAAGAAGAAGAAGAGGGGACGGCUGGGAGGGGUUAUAGGUCUCUAGGGUUCUUUGUUUUGUCUCUCUGAUGAAGAAGAAGCAACGGCUGGGGUCUUCAAGACUAGGGUUGGGGUCUGUUUUUGUUUUUAGGAAGAAGAGUAUAGAAGGGUCUCUAGGGUUAGCUUAGUGGGUAUUGGGUAUUGGGCUUGGAUUUAUGGGCUAAGGGUCCGAAAAUUGGGCAUAAAAAAUAGGAUGUUUGAGCCCAAAUUUUAU